CCCAAAGCAAAGAGAGGCCUGCAAAGCAAUUUCUUAAGGGGGUAGGAAUAACUUUAUCCUCGAAAUGGCGAAUUUGCCCCCUCGAUCAAGUGGGUUUGGUGACUUUUGCAAUAAAAUAAGCUGCUGGUCUGGCGUAUACGAUGAGAAUCGAGCCUGGGAAAGGAUUCAGAUUCUACGAGGAAUUGUUCCUACGCAACUUUGUGCAUGGAC
This 210-nucleotide unclassified non-coding RNA is filed under the name Hevea brasiliensis (rubber tree). The record is from RNAcentral. Lineage: Eukaryota; Viridiplantae; Streptophyta; Magnoliopsida; Malpighiales; Euphorbiaceae.